UCUGAAUGAGAAAUUAAUCUCUGACUUCUUCACCAAAUAUUUGGAGCUGGCUGCAGCAUACCAUGAAUCCUCACAGCAACUUAAUGAGGAAAAAGAAGAACUGAUUGAAGAGUGGCAACCAGAACCUCUUGUUCCUCCUGUCCCAAAAGACCAUCCUGCUCUCAACUACAACAUCGUUUCAGGAAAAACAUCAAGAAAAGGGCAGUAAGAAUGUUAUUUAAAAAUAUGGAGGUAAAUUUCAGAAGAAAAUGCCGAAAAUGUUUGCCUUUGGAAAACGAGAAUCAAGGGUGAGAAUGGAAACAUCUGCGUGAGAAGGGCCCCUCUCAUAAAAUGAAAACAAAGGACAGAAAGCAUUGCUGAGGGCUUAAGGUGUGGAUGAAAUGACACAUUGAAGCUGAAGAAUCCCCAUGUUGACAGCAUUCAAUCCAAGAAAAGCUCCACUGUACACAUGUUCUAACAUAUGAGUGAUCCAAAAGAGAGAGCUUCACAUACAAUAUCCUAUGCCUACUUUCUCAGCUCAGAGAGAGAGGCUCAGUCAUUCAUAAACUGGAGCAACAUUCAUGUACUGCGGACCACUUUGAAAGACUUAUCUGUCUCCUGUUUACAGAUGUGUACAGCAAGCUGCAAAGCACUGCCUGUCCUUUUACUCACAAUCAAUUGCAGAGAACAUGAAGUACAGAAGACAACAGCUUUUUUUUUCUUUUGGAAAAUCCCUUAAGUCCUUUCCGUGCUGUGCUAUCAUUGUUCAGGUGCUAAAGUGAAAUAAAUGUGUCGUCUAAUCACUAAGGUGUCAUGAACUCAAAAAUUUAACUGGCAGUGAAGAGUCA
Molecule: long non-coding RNA, 827 nt
Filed under: Homo sapiens (human)
Lineage: Eukaryota; Metazoa; Chordata; Mammalia; Primates; Hominidae
Description: HSALNT0353074
Source: RNAcentral